UGAGGAGGCGGGGACCGUGGCGGUGUAGGUAGAAGCAGUGGUGGAGGAGGAGGAUGAGGUAGCCAACACUGUUUUUUAUGUUUUGUUUUUUUUAAAUUGUGGUAGCCCGCAAAAUAUUGGGACAUAUAAAAAAAGACAACUCUGUUCCACAGAGUAGCUGUUGACAUUAUAGUUGCGCAGGCACUUUGUUGACUCUAGAGAACCUCGGGCCAAUCGCACAUCCCCGUGGCGGCGACUUUACAUGCAGACGUCAUCCAUAUCAACUUUCGAUGCCAGUUUCUGCGCCUGCCAUGGAGAGCACGGGUAACGGGGAAUCAGGGUUCCAUUUCGUACAGGGACCCUGAGAAAUGGCUACCACAUGCAAGGAAGGCAGCAGGCACGCAAAUGACCCACUCCUGACGCGGGAAGGUAGUGAUGACAAAUAACAAUACAGGACUCUUUAGAGGCCCUGUAAUUGUAAUGAGUCCACUUGAAAUCCUUUAACUGUCAUCAAUUGGAGGGAAGGCUGGUGCAGAGCCACUGACCCGUGCAUGCUGCAGCUGAAACUCCACUA
This 553-nucleotide ribosomal RNA is filed under the name Pelobates cultripes (western spadefoot toad). It matches the Rfam family "Eukaryotic small subunit ribosomal RNA", at positions 153 to 596 of the family's 1831-position model. The record is from RNAcentral. Lineage: Eukaryota; Metazoa; Chordata; Amphibia; Anura; Pelobatidae.